Molecule: long non-coding RNA, 1592 nt
Organism: Bactrocera neohumeralis
Lineage: Eukaryota; Metazoa; Arthropoda; Insecta; Diptera; Tephritidae
Exons: 2
Source: RefSeq, a predicted model, not a curated record
AAUUCUAAUUACAAGUCAUUUUGACAGUUUUGCAGCACUGCACAAAUAUGCACGCGUUAUAUACCGUAAUAACUGGGAUAGAAUAUUCAAUCAAAGUUCUGAACGGAGAUAGAAUUAACAAUUGAUAUUAUUAACGUUUUGACCGUCUUCCAUUAAUCAACGUUUUUGAGGUGUGUUUUGUUAUUGUUUUAAUUAAAAACGGAUAUAAAUAUAUGCAUGGUAUGCACAGUGGCGUAUAAAAAUCUACAUAUGUACAUACAACCCCUAUUUUCGUGGUUCUGAAAGUAUUAAAACUUAAAAAAAAAAAAAAUGUGUUCAUACAGUAUUAUUAUAUUAUACAUUCUAAUCGUAUUAAACUAAAAAAAAUUACAUAAAACAACAAAGUUAUGGACGAAAAACUCAAACAUUAGGGAUUUUCACACAGCGUUGUUAUCUGUUAUUCGAUAAACUUUUACAUGUAUUUUGUAAAUUUAACAAAACGCCAGCAUAAAGAAUAACACUUUACCGUGCCAGGAUCCUGACAAAUUGCUCGUUACUUGGUAAAAACAGUAAUCAGCUGUUUUAUGCUUAGUGCUUUGUCAGUUGUAUUGUAAAUAAUUGAUUGAAAAACAUCUGCUGAGUUACCAAAUUUAGUAGAAUCGAUGCCAAAGCGACUUCAAACAGUUAUAGUAGCUGUAAACGGAGGCCUAACUAAAUCUUAAAAUGCAUUAAUACCUGGAAUGGAGUGAAGUGUUUGUACUGAAAUAUGUUAUAUACAAGAAGCGUUCCAAAGGAAACAGGUCCCCUGGUGGCGCCAUCUAUAUGUCGACUGGUGUGUUAGAAUCUGCUAUCUUUAUCGAUUGUCCAGUAAGAAUUUCAUGACAUUUCAUGGAUUGGAAGUGAAGUUAUUGUUUUAAGUGUCAGUAUGUUUGUGUUAUCGGUGCGAAAAUGAGCUUCGAACAAAGAGCCAACAUUAAAUUUUGUUUUAAAAUUGGUAAAACUUAUAUCGAAACGUUUCAAUCGAUGAAACAUGUUUAUGGCAAUGAUUGCCUGUCCCGUAGCAGAGUGCACGAGGGGUUUCAACGUUUUCAAAGUGGUCGUAAGGACAUAAAUAACGAUCAACAUGUGGGCCAAUCAAAAUCCGUGUUCACCGGAAAGUCCAUCGAAACUGUGCGUGAAUUCAUCAAAAAUCAGCCGAAAUCAUCAUUGAAAUUGAACAUCUCCAAAAAUCGAUUUAUCGCAUUUUGACCGAACAUUUGGGCUUACGAAAGGUGUGUGCACGGUUUGUUCCGCACAAAUUGACUGACGACCAAAAAUUACUCUCAUCGAUCGACGCUUGUGACCGAUUAUUUGACCAAAAAUCACAUUUUAACCAUUUACCACCCACCGUAUUCAUCUGAUAUGGUACCGUGCGACUUCUUCCUUUUGGGAAAAAUGCAUUUGCCCAUGAAAGGAAAGCGUUAUGUAGACGUAGAGGCCGCUCAAAAGGCUGGCGGCCAUACCGACCAACGAGCUAUAACACUCGUUCGGCAUGCUUUUGGACCGUGCAAAAAGCUGUACUGCAGCGGAAGGAGACCAUUUUGAUAAAAUAAAUUGAUUUUACCGAAAAACCA